RNAcentral lists this ribosomal RNA (368 nucleotides) under uncultured bacterium. RNAcentral's name for it is "bacterial SSU rRNA". It matches the Rfam family "Bacterial small subunit ribosomal RNA", at positions 527 to 896 of the family's 1533-position model. The record is from RNAcentral.
GGAGGAUACGAGCGUUAUCCGGAUUUAUUGGGUUUAAAGGGUGCGCAGGUGGUCUUGCAAGUCAGUGGUGAAAAGCUGAGGCUCAACCUCAGCCUUGCCGUUGAAACUGUAAGACUUGAGAGUACAUGAUGUGGGCGGAAUGCGUAGUGUAGCGGUGAAAUGCAUAGAUAUUACGCAGAACUCCGAUUGCGAAGGCAGCUCACAAAGGUAUAUCUGACACUGAGGCACGAAAGCGUGGGGAGCGAACAGGAUUAGAUACCCUGGUAGUCCACGCCGUAAACGAUGAUUACUCGAAGUAUGCGAUAUGACAGUAUGCUUCCAAGCGAAAGUGAUAAGUAAUCCACCUGGGGAGUACGCCGGCAACGGUG